This 537-nucleotide long non-coding RNA is filed under the name Equus asinus (donkey). RNAcentral's name for it is "lncRNA (ENSEASG00005034546.1)". Lineage: Eukaryota; Metazoa; Chordata; Mammalia; Perissodactyla; Equidae. The record is from RNAcentral.
CUCAGGGCUUUCCUGUUGUCUUUCUUCCCUGUAUUGGAGAGAGCAUCUUUCUUCUCUCCCCCUGCCUUUCUCUCUGCUCUCAUGGGUCACUCACUCUGGGAGAUGCCAUGUCAGCUCAGCCCUACGGAGAGGCCCACAUGGGGAGGACCUGAAGCCUCCACCUUGGAAUAGGAUCCUCCAGCCACAGGCAAGUCUUCAAGGAUUGCAGCUGCAGCUGACAGCUGACUGCGACCUCAUGACCAACCCGGGACCAGAACUACCCAGCCUAGCCUCACUGGGAUUCCUGAUACUCAGAAACUGAAAACAAUUCCAUGUUUCUGAAGUGGUGCUGACUCCAACUCCUAUAGGUGAAGGAAGUGAAUCAGAUUAAACUCAAGUACCUCCUUCCCCGGGUACAUCACGAAAGACAGGCUCAUGAGGACAAUCCCUGGACCUUUUCUUCCUACAGUUGUUAAGGGACAGAGGGCCGUAACUUCCAAAUAAAGUUAAAGAUGGGAAAGGUAUCAGACACCCUGGAUUGAGUAGUUCUUACAGUCA